RNAcentral lists this ribosomal RNA (537 nucleotides) under uncultured marine bacterium. Its description in RNAcentral is "bacterial SSU rRNA". It matches the Rfam family "Bacterial small subunit ribosomal RNA", at positions 1 to 526 of the family's 1533-position model. The record is from RNAcentral.
GACGCUGCAGAGUUUGAUCCUGGCUCAGAUUGAACGCUGGCGGCAGGCCUAACACAUGCAAGUCGAGCGGUAACACAAGGGAGCUUGCUCCUGAGGUGACGAGCGGCGGACGGGUGAGUAAUGCCUAGGUAUCUGCCCAGUCGAGGGGGAUAACAGUUGGAAACGACUGCUAAUACCGCAUACGCCCUACGGGGGAAAGGAGGGGACCUUCGGGCCUUUCGCGAUUGGAUGAACCUAGGUGGGAUUAGCUAGUAGGUGGGGUAAUGGCUCACCUAGGCAACGAUCCCUAGCUGGUCUGAGAGGAUGAUCAGCCACACUGGAACUGAGACACGGUCCAGACUCCUACGGGAGGCAGCAGUGGGGAAUAUUGCACAAUGGGCGAAAGCCUGAUGCAGCCAUGCCGCGUGUAUGAAGAAGGCCUUCGGGUUGUAAAGUACUUUCAGCGAGGAGGAAAGCUCAAUUGUUAAUAGCGAUUGGGUGUGACGUUACUCGCAGAAGAAGCACCGGCUAACUUCGUGCCAGCAGCCGCGGUAAUAC